RNAcentral lists this ribosomal RNA (253 nucleotides) under uncultured bacterium. Its description in RNAcentral is "partial 16S ribosomal RNA". It matches the Rfam family "Bacterial small subunit ribosomal RNA", at positions 524 to 776 of the family's 1533-position model. The record is from RNAcentral.
UACGGAGGAUGCAAGCGUUAUCCGGAAUGAUUGGGCGUAAAGCGUCCGCAGGUGGCACUUCAAGUCUGCUGUUAAAUACUAGGGCUUAACCCUGGAGCGGCAGUGGAAACUGAAGAGCUAGAGUUCGGUAGGGGUAGAGGGAAUUCCCAGUGUAGCGGUGAAAUGCGUAGAGAUUGGGAAGAACACCAGUGGCGAAAGCGCUCUGCUAGGCCGGGUCUGACACUCAGGGACGAAAGCUAGGGGAGCGAAUGGG